This 490-nucleotide ribosomal RNA is filed under the name uncultured bacterium. RNAcentral describes it as "partial 16S ribosomal RNA". It matches the Rfam family "Bacterial small subunit ribosomal RNA", at positions 30 to 507 of the family's 1533-position model. The record is from RNAcentral.
AUUGAACGCUGGCGGCAGGCCUAACACAUGCAAGUCGAACGGUAACAGGAAGCAGCUUGCUGCUUUGCUGUCGAGUGGCGGACGGGUGAGUAAUGUCUGGGAAACUGCCUGAUGGAGGGGGAUAACUACUGGAAACGGUAGCUAAUACCGCAUAACGUCGCAAGAGCAAAGAGGGGGAGCUUCGGGCCUCUUGCCAUCGGAUGUGCCCAGAUGGGAUUAGCUAGUAGGUGGGGUAACGGCUCACCUAGGCGACGAUCCCUAGCUGGUCUGAGAGGAUGACCAGCCACACUGGAACUGAGACACGGUCCAGACUCCUACGGGAGGCAGCAGUGGGGAAUAUUGCACAAUGGGCGCAAGCCUGAUGCAGCCAUGCCGCGUGUAUGAAGAAGGCCUUCGGGUUGUAAAGUACUUUCAGCGGGGAGGAAGGGAGUAAAGUUAAUACCUUUGCUCAUUGACGUUACCCGCAGAAGAAGCACCGGCUAACUCCGUG